AGCAGCCGCGGUAAUUCCAGCUCCAAUAGCGUAUAUUAAAGUUGUUGCAGUUAAAAAGCUCGUAGUUGAAUUUCGGGAUCAAUAUGUCGGUCGUGCCUUCGGUACGUACUGGUAUCAUUGGUUUCUCCUUUCUGACGAACCAUGAUGUCAUUAAUUUGGUGUUAUGGGGAGUUAGGACUGUUACUUUGAAAAAAUUAGAGUGUUUAAAGCAGGCUUUAGCUUGAAUACAUUAGCAUGGAAUAAUGAAAUAGGACGUUCGAACCUAUUUUGUUGGUUUCUAGGAUCAACGUAAUGAUUAAUAGGGAUAGUUGGGGGCAUUAGUAUUCAAUUGUCAGAGGUGAAAUUCUUGGAUUUAUUGAAGACUAACUACUGCGAAAGCAUUUGCCAAGGAUGUUUUCAUUAAUCAAGAACGAAAGUUAGGGGAUCGAAGACGAUCAGAUACCGUCGUAGUCUUAACCAUAAACUAUGCCGACUAGGGAUCGGAUGAUGUUAAUUUUUUAAUGACUCAUUCGGCGCCUUACG
This 522-nucleotide ribosomal RNA is filed under the name uncultured Glomeromycotina. RNAcentral describes it as "SSU rRNA". It matches the Rfam family "Eukaryotic small subunit ribosomal RNA", at positions 569 to 1092 of the family's 1831-position model. The record is from RNAcentral. Lineage: Eukaryota; Fungi; Glomeromycota.